AAUAGAUACCCCGGUAGUCCACGCCGUAAACGAUGGAUGCUAGCUGUUAGAGGUAUCGACCCCCCUUAGUAGCGAAGCUAACGCGUUAAGCAUCCCGCCUGUGGAGUACGGUCGCAAGACUAAAACAUAAAGGAAUUGACGGGGGACCCGCACAAGCGGUGGAGCGUGUUGUUUAAUUCGAUGAUAAGCGAAGAACCUUACCCAGGCUUGACAUCCUUGGAAUUUUUACGAAAGUAGAGAGUGCCUUUGGAACCAAGUGACAGGUGUUGCAUGGCCGUCGUCAGCUCGUGUCGUGAGAUGUUUGGUUAAGUCCAUCAACGAGCGCAACCCUUGUAGUUAGUUGAAUUUUUCUAGCUAGACUGCCCUGGUAACAGGGAGGAAGGAGGGGAUGAUGUCAGGUCAGUAUUACCCUUACGUCUGGGGCUACAAACACGCUACAAUGGCCGGUACAAAGGGCAGCCAAGUCGCGAGACGGAGCAAAUCCCAUCAAAGCCGGUCCCGAGUUCGGAUAGCAGGCUGAAACUCGCCUGCUUGAAGUCGGAAUCGCUAGUAACGGU
This 557-nucleotide ribosomal RNA is filed under the name uncultured bacterium. RNAcentral describes it as "bacterial SSU rRNA". It matches the Rfam family "Bacterial small subunit ribosomal RNA", at positions 777 to 1345 of the family's 1533-position model. The record is from RNAcentral.